CACCUUGCGCUCCUUGGUAUUCCGAGGAGCAUGCCUGUUUGAGUGUCAUUAAAUUCUCAACCUUCCAGCUUUUUAUAAGCUUGGUUAGGCUUGGAUGUGGGGGUUGUGGGCUUCAUUAAUGAGGUCAGCUCUCCUUAAAUGCAUUAGCGGAACUUUUGUGGACCGUCUAUUGGUGUGAUAAUUAUCUACGCCGUGGAUGUGAAGCAGAUUUAUGAAGUUCAGCUUCUAACCGUCCAUUGACUUGGACAUUUUUGACAAUUUGACCUCAAAUCAGGUAGGACUACCCGCUGAACUUAAGCAUAUCAAUAAGCGGAGGAAAAGAAACUAACAAGGAUUCCCCUAGUAACUGCGAGUGAAGCGGGAAAAGCUCAAAUUUAAAAUUCUGCGCAGUCUUUGGCUGUGCGCGA
RNAcentral lists this ribosomal RNA (407 nucleotides) under uncultured fungus. Its description in RNAcentral is "eukaryotic LSU rRNA". The stretch from base 261 to 407 matches the Rfam family "Eukaryotic large subunit ribosomal RNA", at positions 1 to 141 of the family's 3401-position model. Lineage: Eukaryota; Fungi. The record is from RNAcentral.